AGUUCCUUGGGCAGCUCCUAUAAGACAAGGAAUUUUGACAUUUGUUUGGAGAGCCUCACUUGACCUCUUUUUGGAGAGCUGAAUUGGACUGAACGUGAGAAUUCCUUCUGGACUUGAUCUCUCAGGAGACUAGAGGUCACUGCCUUUGAUGCAUUCUUC
Cervus elaphus (red deer) is the source of this 159-nucleotide long non-coding RNA. RefSeq lists it as uncharacterized. The transcript has 3 exons. The record is from RefSeq and is a predicted model, not a curated record. Lineage: Eukaryota; Metazoa; Chordata; Mammalia; Artiodactyla; Cervidae.